UACGGGGGGGGCAAGCGUUGUUCGGAAUUACUGGGCGUAAAGGGCGCGUAGGCGGGCCGCCAGGUCCGGGGUGAAAGCCUCCAGCUCAACUGGAGAAGUGCCUUGGAUACCGGCGGCCUCGAGGGAGGCAGGGGCGUGCGGAACUUCGGGUGGAGCGGUGAAAUGCGUAGAUAUCCGAAGGAACACCGGUGGCGAAAGCGGCGCGCUGGACCUCUUCUGACGCUGAGGCGCGAAAGCCAGGGGAGCAAACGGG
Molecule: ribosomal RNA, 253 nt
Filed under: uncultured bacterium
Lineage: Bacteria
Description: partial 16S ribosomal RNA
Rfam family: Bacterial small subunit ribosomal RNA
Source: RNAcentral